RNAcentral lists this transfer RNA (67 nucleotides) under Harmostica fulvicornis. Its description in RNAcentral is "tRNA-Leu". It matches the Rfam family "tRNA". Rfam says of the family: Transfer RNA (tRNA) molecules are approximately 80 nucleotides in length. Their secondary structure includes four short double-helical elements and three loops (D, anti-codon, and T loops). Lineage: Eukaryota; Metazoa; Arthropoda; Insecta; Hemiptera; Rhyparochromidae. The record is from RNAcentral.
ACUAUUUUGGCAGAUUAGUGCAGUAAAUUUAGAAUUUAUUUAUACAGGUUUAGUUCUGUAAAUAGUA